AACGCGAAGAACCUUACCUACUCUUGACAUCCAGAGAACUUUCCAGAGAUGGAUUGGUGCCUUCGGGAACUCUGAGACAGGUGCUGCAUGGCUGUCGUCAGCUCGUGUUGUGAAAUGUUGGGUUAAGUCCCGCAACGAGCGCAACCCUUAUCCUUGUUUGCCAGCGAGUAAUGUCGGGAACUCCAGGGAGACUGCCGGUGAUAAACCGGAGGAAGGUGGGGACGACGUCAAGUCAUCAUGGCCCUUACGAGUAGGGCUACACACGUGCUACAAUGGCGCAUACAGAGGGCGGCCAACUUGCGAGAGUGAGCAAAUCCCAAAAAGUGCGUCGUAGUCCGGAUCGGAGUCUGCAACUCGACUCCGUGAAGUCGGAAUCGCUAGUAAUCUUUGAUCCCAAUGCCACGGUGAAUACGUUCCCGGGCCUUGUCCACCCCGUCCUUCACACCAUGGGAGUGGGCUGCAAAAGAAGUAGGUAGUUUAACCUUCGGG
RNAcentral lists this ribosomal RNA (489 nucleotides) under Vibrio rotiferianus. Its description in RNAcentral is "bacterial SSU rRNA". It matches the Rfam family "Bacterial small subunit ribosomal RNA", at positions 958 to 1446 of the family's 1533-position model. Lineage: Bacteria; Pseudomonadati; Pseudomonadota; Gammaproteobacteria; Vibrionales; Vibrionaceae. The record is from RNAcentral.